UACGGAGGGUGCAAGCGUUAUCCGGAUUCACUGGGUUUAAAGGGUGCGUAGGUGGGCAGGUAAGUCCGUGGUGAAAUCUCUGAGCUUAACUCAGAAACUGCCGUGGAUACUAUUUGUCUUGAAUAUUGUGGAGGUGAGCGGAAUAUGUCAUGUAGCGGUGAAAUGCUUAGAUAUGACAUAGAACACCAAUUGCGAAGGCAACUCACUACACAAUUAUUGACGCUGAGGCACGAAAGCGUGGGGAUCAAACAGG
This 253-nucleotide ribosomal RNA is filed under the name uncultured bacterium. RNAcentral's name for it is "partial 16S ribosomal RNA". It matches the Rfam family "Bacterial small subunit ribosomal RNA", at positions 524 to 776 of the family's 1533-position model. The record is from RNAcentral.